This 251-nucleotide ribosomal RNA is filed under the name Polycera alabe. RNAcentral's name for it is "partial 16S ribosomal RNA". Lineage: Eukaryota; Metazoa; Mollusca; Gastropoda; Nudibranchia; Polyceridae. The record is from RNAcentral.
UAAAGACGAGAAGACCCUUAGAGUUUUUCUAAAAUUGAGAUUAUUAAUUCUCAUAACAGUUUAGUUGGGGCAACUUAGGAGCAAAUAAAAUUUAAUCUCCUGAAAAUAAUUAAUCGAUUAUUUUAGUAAUGAAUAAACUACCUUAGGGAUAACAGCAUAAUUUUAUUAUUAAGUUUGUGACCUCGAUGUUGGACUGGGAAACUUAAAGGUUAGCCACCUUUAAGGUGAGUUCUGUUCGAACUAUUAUUCCC